Long non-coding RNA from Symphalangus syndactylus (siamang), 1193 nucleotides. RefSeq lists it as uncharacterized. The record is from RefSeq and is a predicted model, not a curated record. Lineage: Eukaryota; Metazoa; Chordata; Mammalia; Primates; Hylobatidae.
AUCCAGGGAUUGCUACUGGUUUUGGAAAUUCACCAGGAGGGGCCACUUAACUACAAAGGUAAAUCCCUUCUGCUUGUUCCUUCAAAUCGAUGAGGAGAGUCAUUUCUGAAUGCUAAUGCUGCAAACUGAGAUAUUAAAGGCUGUGUUUAGUCAUGAAAAACGAAGGCAACUUUGAAGACUGACCCUUACAACCUUGAGACUAUUUUCUAAAAGAAGACACUUUACCUUAAAUCACAAUACAUACCACAGCUAAGGAUGUUUAAGGCAGAAGACCAAAUGUUAGGGGACUGAAGUGUGACCUAUUGUGAUCGACUGGGGUAAGCCAACAGAAUAUUCUGAUCUGUACUUUUGAAGAGUUCUGAGGAAUAACCUACUUCAACCUUGGUGAAUUCUGGAGGCAGAAUUCCUCAAUUCCAAUUCUUACUGGACCUGUUUGGUAUACUUGGAUCUGUCUUUUGGUCACCUGAAGAUUCCUAACUGAUGCUUCCCCCAUGGUUACAAAAAUCUGGAAAUUUUACCUAUUUGUUUUAUUCUCAUAGGAGUUAACAUCUAUUCUGGAAUAUGAACUAUAUAAAAUUAAAAGUGAACAAAAAGCACAAUACAAUUUACAACCACAAAGAAUUGUGGCAACUGUUAAAGGUGUUUAAAGCAAGAAUUUUAUUUAGGCCAGAAAAAGAUAGUCAAAUUUAAGUUAAAGUAACAAAAUAUUAAAAUGCAAGCCAAUGGAACUUUAAAUCACCCCUCAAACAUUUCAGUUUUUGUAAUUUUGAUGUUUUACUGCUAAACAACCUGACAUACUUUGUUUCUGUACUGUAGCAUUUAAAAAUUUCAAAGAUUAUAUUCAAUCUGGCACUAUAAAAUUUUCUAUUUUCUGUUAACUUUUAAAUGUGAUCUUACUUUUAUAUUUGACAUCUGAUUCCAGAAGUCAUUAUCAUGUCAUUUGAAGAAAUAUUUAUGUUUACCAUAGUAUUUUCAACAGAAUGCUGCCUUAAAAAAAUACAUAAGUUAGCCUAGCAAGAAGACAAAUUAUCUGGAUCUGGGUUUCUUAACCCCCCUCCUAUUAACAUUCUAGCCCUACCUAAUUCCUUCAUUUAUUCUUCUGUUUUCAAAAUAUCUCUUAAUUACUUCCAUCCCCAUUUCAGUUGUAAAUGCUUCUUUACAGCCAUUCUUUCAUUAAAAUAAAUCCUCCAACU